GACGAACGCUGGCGGCGUGCUUAACACAUGCAAGUCGAGCGGUAAGGCCCUUUCGGGGGUACGACGAGCGGCGAACGGGUGAGUAACAUGUGGGUGACCUGCCCUCAGCUCUGGGAGUAAGCCUCGGGAAACCGGGGUACUAAUACUGGAUAUGACUCCAUGACGCAUGUUGUGGGGUGGAAAGCCUUGUGCGGCUGAGGAUGGGCCCGCGGCCUAUCAGCUUGUUGGUGGGGUGAUGGCCUACCAAGGCGACGACGGGUAGCCGGCCUGAGAGGGCGACCGGCCACACUGGGACUGAGACACGGCCCAGACU
This 313-nucleotide ribosomal RNA is filed under the name uncultured bacterium. RNAcentral describes it as "bacterial SSU rRNA". It matches the Rfam family "Bacterial small subunit ribosomal RNA", at positions 28 to 337 of the family's 1533-position model. The record is from RNAcentral.